Molecule: non-coding RNA, 669 nt
Organism: Manis javanica (Malayan pangolin)
Lineage: Eukaryota; Metazoa; Chordata; Mammalia; Pholidota; Manidae
Source: RefSeq, a predicted model, not a curated record
GGGCAAGAGCCAAUGACCGUGUAGAAGCGACGGUAAGCGUGAGAAAGCCAACACCAGCGGAGUCUUUUGUCAAGUCUCAGCGGGAGCCUGAUAAUUGGGGUUAUUGAAAAUUCAUUGGAGAAUGAGUGCUGUUCCGAAUUUGCUAGUGAUGCGGAGAAAGCUGUAGCAUCCAUUUUGUACCUCAAGAUGGAAGUCGUGUGUUAAAGAUGGCAGAGCAAGAAGAUACAAGGAGCCUGGGUUGCUGACACCAUUGAACCAAUGUACCAGCCCUGGAUUUUUCUGAUGCAGCUGCUGGUGGAGGGAGACAGAGGCUCCUGGCAUCUCCCUAAGAGGAUUGGCAACCACUGAAUAACAAUGAACUCAAUUCUACAUCAGAAACACAGAGAGAAGAUGUAAAGAGACAAAAAAAAGAGGAAAGCAAAAAGCAAAACACACGAAGACUGUGGGGCAGAGUGCUGUAGAUCACAGUUGUAAUUCAACAGGUCAAAUAUAGGGGCUCUUCAAUAUCCAUCCAUUUAAGACCCUGAGAAUAAACCCAGCCUUCAAAAAAACCAUAGAGAGAGAGAACCCAAGAUGGCAGAAUGAGUAGGGCAGCAGAAAUCUCCUCCCACAACCAUACGUAUUUUUGAAAAUAAACCAAAUAUAACUAAUCCUAAAAGAGAGACCAGA